GACGAACGCUGGCGGCGUGCUUAACACAUGCAAGUCGAACGCGCCUGUCCUCUGGGUUUCUGGGGGGUGGGUGAGUGGCGAACGGGUGAGUAACACGUGAGUAACCUGCCCCCUUCUUCGGGAUAACGGUCUGAAAGGGCUGCUAAUACCGGGUAUUCACUGGUCUCCGCAUGGGGUCUGGUGGAAAGGUUUUUUUCUGGUGGGGGAUGGGCUCGCGGCCUAUCAGCUUGUUGGUGGGGUGAUGGCCCACCAAGGCUUUGACGGGUAGCCGGCCUGAGAGGGUGACCGGUCACAUUGGGACUGACAUACGGCCCAGGCUCCUACGGGGGGCAGCAGUGGGGAAUAUUGGACAAUGGGCGAAAGCCUGAUGCAGCGACGCCGCGUGAGGGAUGGAGGCCUUCGGGUUGUGAACCUCUUUCGCCCGUGGUCAAGCCGCGACGUGGGUCGUGGUGAGGGUAGUGGGUAAAGAAGCGCCGGCUAACUACGUG
RNAcentral lists this ribosomal RNA (488 nucleotides) under uncultured bacterium. RNAcentral's name for it is "partial 16S ribosomal RNA". It matches the Rfam family "Bacterial small subunit ribosomal RNA", at positions 28 to 507 of the family's 1533-position model. The record is from RNAcentral.